UACUGGGUUAUGUUAAGGGAACGCCGAUACCACAAAAUGAUGAAAAGCAGAGAGGAGAAAAUGUUUCUAUGCCUCCAACAGCAACAAAACCAGCGGUAAGAAGAGUUUCCCAGGCAGAAAUGCAGCCUUGUGUUUGAAGGCUGUAUUAGUAAACAGGGUAAGCCUUACCAUAGGUGGGGCUAAACAUGCCGUGGUUUGCACUAUCUCCAUCUUUGCAUCAAGUGAGGAGGCCCAUAGACAGGUCCGUCCUACAGGCAGGGUCUGGAGGCUCCCUGUGCUUACAGAUACCAUCUUUAACUGUUAACUUCACGUUCUGUAAACAGAAAAAGCAAGUGGCAUACUAUGAGAGGCCCCACUGCUCCCAGGAACAGCAUUAUCAGGCUUAGAAAAAGAACCAACACACAGCUGCCCUACAAUGUUGCUUGUUGGGGAUUUCAUUUUUUUCUGCUAAAAUUAAAACGGUGUCUCCUGAAAUCAUCACUGCAGCAAUAGCUGCAUUAUUUGUAUGGGCACACUGGAGGCACAGCUCUGGUGGUAUCUGCUGCAAGAGCACAGCGUUUGUGUGCGCAGUACCUUGGGGUGACCCCAACCCACCCAUCAUCCAAACCAAAUGCAGGCAUUCAGUACAGAAGGAAUUUUCCCAGCACUAUUUAAGGAGACUUCAAGUGGAGGAGAAGAAAAAGAGAAAUAAGACAUGCAAGGCGUUUUAUAAAGAUGUGUUUUAACUUCUAAGGCAGUCAGGAACCAUGGUGAUGAAUGUGACACAAACUUAAAUUGCUCAGAUACGAGCUCUGAUCCACUGGGAACCAUCCUCAGAUUCAUAAAGAGCAUCAAAUGCUAAUAGCUUCUAAUCAGAACCUACCUGGGCCCGAUUUAACCAGUGACAUACAGCUGAAAGCCCAUGGGAUGCAUUUUGAUUUAAAUGUCAUCCAUCCCUUCGGCAAUGUGAAGUGACCUCGGGCUUAAAUGAGCAUCUCUGCAAUUUUAUGCCAUUGGGAAGUUAAAUGCAGUAUCUUGCCCAAAGUGCAGGGCAAUUUGAUUGAUGCCAAAAUGAACUCACUUUUUUUUGCCCCCAGUAUUUCGUUUCUUCUCUGCUCAGCAUUCUGACUGACUUUACAGGAAGCUUAUGGUGGUUUAUAGAUUAUGGACUUAAAAGUGGUGAACAGAUAGCUAUAUUUGUUUUGAGCACCCCACGGAGAGCAAAAACAGUCCUUAACUGCAGAACUACGCUGUCCGUAACAACCUUGGACUCACACUGGAUGUCGUUCUGCCGCUGUCACACUGUCACUGUCGUAGGGGAUGUCGUGUCAUGUUCUUGUCAGAUCUGAUGUUCACAAAUAUGAUACAGCUUGAAAACUUAGGUACAAUUUCAAGUCCUUUUAAUGCUCCUUAGUUUUAGAGAAGUCAUUUACAAUUAUAUCCUAAAUAUUUUAGAAGGAAUCCAUUUUACGGCAUCCUUAAAAUCUUAUAAAACUCUAACAGUUGUAAUUAACAUACUGACAUUUUGCUGCUAUGUAAAAUUAAGUUGCUUUUAUUUCUCAGCUGCAGUAGCAGCAGUAUCCAGGCACUGUCCUGCACUUCAGUAAUGGAAAUUUCCCAGCUUCAAAGCACACUUUGUCUCAGUUGGCUGCAGUAAAACCGAGUGAUUUCUAUAUUGUUGUGUGCUUCACUUGUCCUUAGUUAUCUGGAGCUUGUAUCUUUUGAAAACCAGCUUCUCCACGAGUCAGCUUCGCUUUGCUCAAGACUUCCAAUUCUGUAAACAAGCUAUGGAUGAUGCAAGUAUUGAGCCAGAGUUAUUCUGCAGGAGUGACAAAACACAUGCACAGUCAGUGUUUGCACAGAAUGUUAUGGUGACUUACGAGGACGUCGCUGCAGUCACAGUUUGCGUGUGCCGAAGUUCCAUGCACCAAAAGGCUACUGAGAUUUUACAGAACAGACUUAGCGUGUAAUAUCAGCCUCCUGAUCUCUCUGUUUUUGAUAUCAUCAGUUGCUAGACGAAUACACAAAAACACAAAAUAGGCAGUAAGAUUAUUACAAAACCUCACAAGGCUCAUGAUUUACAAAUACUUAAACACACUGUCUGUUUCCCCCAGUCACUCUCAGUUCCACUUCACACUGGACAAGGGAUGCCUCCAAUAAGGGCAGAAGUUAAAGAACAUAGACACAGGAUUAUUGGGGUUUUAUGUGGUCCAGAUAUUGCAGCAAUUUCAUUUUCAUUCUUUCUCACUCACAGUUAAAAAAUCAAGGGGGUAUGUGUGAUGAAGAGCUUGACUGAUGGGAGGAUAGAGAAGAAAGCAUCAGUCCUGAUAUCAGCCCAAUUGCAUUACACCUGGGGCAGACACAGAAGCACCUUCACUGAGAACCAGUUUAGGAAAUGAUACCAAACCUUCAUGACAAUGCUACUAGAACUUCAUUUCAAGUGAUGUUCUUAGCACUCGUUUUGGUUUAUAACAACCAUGUAGGUAGUGAUCUUGUGGUGGCACAAGUAUAAUUCCCCGCUGUCUGCUCCUGUUGUACAUAGCACUGUCUGAACAAGGCAUAGGAAACAGUGUGCCAGUGGGAUUCUGAGAUGCUCACAUAAAAGCCCAGAAUACAGACAGCACUGGUACAUCACACAACAAGAGCAUGGAGCCCUUAUGAGACAGCUUGGAGGCCUCAGCGCCGUUAUUGUGAAUAUAAAGUUUCCACAUAUGAACGGUCACUCUUAGCUUUCCCAUUGCUGCUCUUGGCAGACAAUAAGAGCUGACUGGAAAUGGAACAACUGUUUCCCUGCACCGGUCAGAGCCCAGCCUGCUGGCACAGAGUGGCAGAAGAGGCACUGCCCCAGGGCUUGGGCUGAGAUGCACUGCAGUACCUGCAGGGCAGUCUGCAUCGCUGCUCUCCAGGCAACACUAUGCUGCAGGAGGAAAGGUGGCAGCCUCUUCUCUUGCGCUUUGUUCAGUCUGCUGAUCAGAGCGCCCAAAGAGUCUGUACUGCAUAACUUUAAAGAUAGGAUAUAAAUUACAGACAUCAGUUCCCAGUCUAGCAAAUCAACAUUCAUUUUUAAAACAAUCGGUUCUUUUGCAGCUUUGCAUAUCUAUAGCAGAAAUGAGCCACGCAGGCAGGAGAGACUUCUUGAAGGAAGUGGUGUCGCAGUAUUUUGGAAAAAAAAAAAGCCAAGCUGUUGGAAUAUGUGCUGCAUUACAUGGGCAAUGCAGUACCUUGGAGUGCUUCCUGUUUACACCACACCACACCAUACAACUUGCAAGCAUUUGUUAAUAAACACUCCUAAGGAAAGAAUUAAUAAUAUCCAAGUAUACAGCCCCCUGCGGCACCUGUCGCUGUAAACGGGAAGUUUUCAUGAUAGUAUCAGGGGGUUGUUGGUGUGAGACAAGCAGCUUAUGAGGCCCAGUCCAUGUCCCACUGAAAUCCACACCGCAUCUCUCAUAGGGUCAUUGGAUCCCUGGCAUACUUUUUUUUCCCCUGUAAAUAUGUAAAUAGCAAUUCAUUUGAAUAAAUUUUUACUCUCAGCAUUUGUCAUUUUUGCAAACAUAGGAAUACGAAGCAUGAACUUCUGCAGAAACGCAGCACAGAGCCUGACAUGAUGAUGGCAAAAGUACAGCCUGCUCCUAAGAACAAUAAUCGGCAAGUUCUGAGGUGACCAAUCAAAUACAGACAUUGCUCCCACGAUCAGAGCAGCACUGCCUUGCUGCAUGAGCUUUCACACAGGACAGCUCAGUCCAGCUCUUGUAGCUCUCAUCAGACUAAGAGAAAGGCUGAACCUCAGAAGGAUGUUCCCUCCAGCCACCAGCACUAGAUCUAGCUAAAUUUCAUGUAAUUAAGACUUUUAUAGCAUUUUAACAAUGGGAAAAUUAUCUGCUUCCAUUACCAUUGUCUUACCUGACAUCAGCGGUUAUUACUUCAGAUAUGCAGAGCCCCACGACAAGAUGCCUUCUGUAAGUGCAAUACAUCCAUUGUAAUCAAGUGCUACAUUAUCUUACUACAGUACUGAGCCUAUGGGUCUUGUACAAGUGACACAAAAUUGUUGUGGGGAUCCAUCGGUGCCCUCAUUUCCCACUGUCAUUAUCAGAGCCCAAGUGAACCUUUGGCCUGGAAAUCUUUUGGCAAAAAGACCAGCAGCAAUGAAAGUAUUUCUGACUAUUUGACAAUAAGGGCUGCUUAAAUAAACAAACAAACAAACAAACAAAUCAUAGAAUCAUAGAAUCGCUAAGGUUGGAAAAGACCCACAGGAUCAUCCAGUCCAAUAAAUAAAUAAAAGGAAGAAGAAGGAAAGGGAAAAGAGAGAGCAGGAGAGAAUGCUGCUCUUGGAAGAACAUGGCAAAACAUCUAUAGAAUGACACUGUGCAUCUGAUUUUGAAGGUACAAUUAAUGGAGGUGGAGUAAGAUUAAGGGGCUGUGCUCUGCCAAGCAGUGUGUGCAGGAGAGCAGACAGCAGAUGCCCAGACACUUAGGCCUAUGCCUCUCAUGUUAGGCUGCAGUACGGAAGUGUGUGUGGAUAUUUAAUUGUAAUUCAUCUAUGAAUUGCUUGGGUUUAUGAAUCUGGGAAGCCCAUAUGCUGCAGCAAGAAAUGUGUGUUUAUUAGCACAGUAGUUCCACCAGCCUUUCC
Long non-coding RNA from Gallus gallus (chicken), 4606 nucleotides. The record is from Ensembl. Lineage: Eukaryota; Metazoa; Chordata; Aves; Galliformes; Phasianidae.